This is a long non-coding RNA of Apis dorsata (giant honeybee), 1171 nucleotides long. RefSeq lists it as uncharacterized. NCBI's taxonomy places the organism in Eukaryota, Metazoa, Arthropoda, Insecta, Hymenoptera, Apidae. The transcript has 3 exons. The record is from RefSeq and is a predicted model, not a curated record.
AAAAUAUACCAAUUAAUAUUUUCUUCAGAUUUCACUUUUUAUAAAUGAUAAAUUUGCACUUUUUAUUAAUUCUUUUUCUGAAUUGAAUAUCAAUGAAAUUAUAAAAUUAAUUGAAACUAAAUCAUACAAGUUAUUAAUUCAUCGAAACCUGCCAUGUUUAAUAUUACUAUUGACAUAUCGAUAUUGUAUGAUCACCAAAAAUAUCCCUUUGCAUAAAUGUAAAAUUCCCCAGGCGGAACUAGAAUGAAGUCAUGCACAGAUCGACAUAACGGCGUCGUUUCUAUGACACCUUGAUCUUUUCUGCGCUAGUGCCAAGUGGAACGUCUAUAUUUACCGAACACACGCGAGCACGCGCGCGCCCUAGCAAGUUUCUGCACGCUACUGGAUAAUGUUGGUGGAUUAAAUAAACCGUCGGAUUAAAUAGCAUCGCUGCAUUUCGCUCUUUCGUGGCACGAGGACUGUCCGGCAAAUAGGUCGACCACGGGCAUUCAAUCUUGGAAGAACGAACGGAUAGAAGUAGUACCGUAUCGUCGACCAUUUUUCUUUCGGUCAACGGACACCCAUUUUAUAUUUAGAACGGGUAUGGUCGCGACGGUAACUUUUCGUUAUGCCGGUUGUUUUGUCUGAAAUUCGCGUGACGCAAGCGCAUUAUUCGCGCGUGUUUCUACCAUUCCUGCAUCGACUGAGCGAUAACUCGAUAAUAUUUCGUUGCGACUUCGUUGCCACUGGGAUAUUACUGAAAGAUUGAUCGAUGAAAAGAGAAAUUUACGGAUUCGAGAAGAUAAAUUAAUUGUCGUGGAAGAGUACAACGGUUCGAUGAAAGAAGGCAGUGAGAGGGUGAGACGGGAGAGUGGAAAAGGAAGAAGGGAAGAAUAGAAAUUGAUCGAGGAUGCUUCGUACACUUCCAUCCUCCGCACUCCUCGCUUGAGGGCUUUUUUAUUACAAGCUGGAUUGUAAAAAAAACCACGGAGCCACGGUUGCGGCCAGUCGUAAUAAAUAUUUUACGUUCUCGCAAUCGUUUUACUGCAUUGGGAUAUCCUGAACGCGGUAAACCACCCGCGGGAUUUCGGCCUUAUUCCUUUUGCUCUGCAAUCGGGCAUCCCUUUCGAAGAAUGAGCGAUAUCGAGAAUCUUUUAUGUUAUCUCGUACUCUCGCUCAAAUAGGUAAUAAC